GAUGAACGCUGGCGGUAUGCUUAACACAUGCAAGUCGAACGGUCACUUCGGUGAUAGUGGCGGACGGGUGAGUAACGCGUGAGAAUCUGUCUUCAGGUCGGGGACAACAGUUAGAAAUGACUGCUAAUACCGGAUGUGCCUUUGGGUGAAAGAUUUAUUGCCUGAAAAAGAGCUCGCGUCAGAUUAGCUAGUAGGUGGUGUAAGAGACUACCUAGGCUCCGAUCUGUAGCUGGUCUGAGAGGACGAUCAGCCACACUGGAACUGAGACACGGUCCAGACUCCUACGGGAGGCAGCAGUGGGGAAUUUUACGCAAUGGGCGAAAGCCUGACGGAGCAAUACCGCGUGAGGGACGAAGGCUUUUGGGUCGUAAACCUCUUUUCUCAAGGAAGAUGAUGACGGUACUUGAGGAAUAAGCAUCGGCUAACUCUGUG
This 432-nucleotide ribosomal RNA is filed under the name uncultured bacterium. RNAcentral describes it as "partial 16S ribosomal RNA". It matches the Rfam family "Bacterial small subunit ribosomal RNA", at positions 28 to 507 of the family's 1533-position model. The record is from RNAcentral.